GGUUGAAUAAUCAAAUCUGUAAUAGAUGGAAGAGAAUGGAGAAAAAUGGAAGAAAUUUAAAGGGCACAAGAAAACCUCCAUUAUUCCCAAUUAUAAUAUAAAAUAUUGUAAGAAAAAAAAUUUACAGCGUUAACAACUAGUGGUAAUCUUUUUAUUAACUACCAUUUUAUUUUGUAGUUUUGACAGAUCUUCUAGAUGCCAUGCACACUCUUAGGGAAAAAUAUGGUAUUAAAUCCCAUUGUCAUUGUACUAACAAACAGAAUUUACAAGUUGGAAAUUUUCCUACAAUGAAUGGUGUAUCUCAAGUUUUACAGAAUGUUCUUAAUCACAGUAAUAAAAUUUCUCUGUGCAUGCCUGAGUCUCAGCAGCAAAAUACUCCUCAGAAGUCUGAGAAAAAUGGUGGCAGCAGCCCAGAGAGUGAUGUAGGCACAGAUAACAAGUUAACUCCUCCAGAAUCCCAGUCACCACUGCACUGGUUAGCAGAUCUUGCAGAGCAAAAAGCCAGAGAGGAAAAAAAA
Molecule: small RNA, 518 nt
Filed under: Pongo abelii (Sumatran orangutan)
Lineage: Eukaryota; Metazoa; Chordata; Mammalia; Primates; Hominidae
Description: processed transcript
Source: RNAcentral